GUAACUGCUCAUUUGAACAUAUGCUUCUCAUAGGAACCGAAAACACACUCCUCACUCAUUGGAUGACUUCAAGCCUGAGCUGAUACAGCGGUGUGUCAGUCGUUUGAAUGCAGGAGAUGAUCCUCUUGAGGAACAUAAUGAAAAUCCAUUGUGUGAAGAUGUAGCAAAUGAAGAGGAUGAAGAAAUUGGGGAAUUGCCUAAUUUAAUUGAGAAACAUUUAGCCCACCUACUACUAAAACUGGAAAGUAUAUAUAAUGUACCUCGCAGGUGUAUUGAUGAAUUAGUUGUUACAGUUACAGUUAUAGUUCAUGUCAUUCUCUGAUUCAGGUCCUAUUCAUCAAAAGCACAAUUGUGCUGUUGAUGAAAUUUAGGUUACAUUUACUUUUAGUCACUUUAUCCUAUUGCUAGCAAAGUGGGCAUUUAAAGCAGGCCAGUGUGUAACAGUUUAAAUUGAAGUUACAAAGAUUAAAUCUUUAUUUCUUUUAAAAACAUAUUUAAAAUCAAUAUUUGGCACAAUGCAAGUCACAUAAAUGUAAUAGUUUUGACUUUUCACCUAAUAAACUGUAAGUUUAAGUUUUGUUUUGCUUUUUUUAUUCUCCAGAGUUCGGUGGAAAUGAAGAGAGAGGUCGCAAUCCGUUGCCUGAAGGUGUAUCUGAAAGAGAAGGAAGAGGAUCUCUUCAGAGAACAGCUGGAUGGUGAACAACAGUUCCCAGAAGAAGUGGUAAAGAUUGUAGUCACCAGACGUGCAGCAGUGUCUCUCAAAGCUGUCGCUAAAAUUGUGAUUGAAGGAACAGCAGUCCUGGAAGACCUUGAUGUGCCCAGAGUGUGUGCCUUAAUGAUGGGGCUUAUAUACACUCUCAAUCUGAGCUACCCAAAACAAGUAAAGAACACUAGAGGUAUUUCUGGAACUUGAUGGGCUUAAACCAGUCCACGGGUAAUGUCUGUUAAGUGCAAACUUCUGUCAUGAAACGAAUGUGAAUUGGACUGUAGUAUUCCGAUGUGCCUCUUACGUUUUUGUAUGCAGUCCCAGAUGAGUGUAGUUUUGAGAAAAGUUUGUAAUACAUAUAAUCUUAGCUUUGGAUUGUUCUGUUGUUGAACAUUAAAAUCUUUUGUCAUUUCCUUGAUUCUGCGACAAGUUGAACAAGUUGAUACCAAUUUAUGUUAAUGUUAAUGUACAUGAAGUACUUUUUUUUUUUUUAGUCAUUUAUAAUUAAAGGGCUGCUGUAAUGUUUCAUUUAUGUUGUAUUGACACAGAAGUGUAUUACUUUGAAAAUGUUUUGUAAUAAAAUAAUCAAUUGGAAUAAGUGAAAUGGCUUUGUGUGAUUUUUAGAAAAGCUACUAUAGAAACCUAAACUAAUUGGCAUGGAUAAUUGUGAGUAGGAUAUAUGUAAAAAAGUUCGUUGGUGUAACUCAACUAAUGUAAUUUCUCAACUUAAUUUUACCAGAAAUUUUAAAUUAAUAUUAGGUUGAAUAAACUUAAUUAUGCUUGUGGAGGUCAAGGUAAAUCAUGUUGGUUUGUUAAACAAGUUGAGUUAGCCAAACCUAAAAAUUACUUGCUGAAUUUACUUAAUAAUAUGCAAAAUUUGUAACUUAAAAAGCUGAGUGGAAAUUGUUACCUUACUUUUUUAAGUUGAGGCAACAAAAUAUUUUUUAGAGUGUA
This is a long non-coding RNA of Astatotilapia calliptera (eastern happy), 1660 nucleotides long. Lineage: Eukaryota; Metazoa; Chordata; Actinopteri; Cichliformes; Cichlidae. The record is from Ensembl.